CUCCUUUCCCUGUGGUGUACACUGCUCUAUGCCCAGUUUUCUCAACAUACCUGGAAAGAAUAAUAUACAAGUUCAUGUUCCAUCAGCUUUGAUACCACUGAUU
Cucurbita moschata (crookneck pumpkin) is the source of this 103-nucleotide long non-coding RNA. RefSeq lists it as uncharacterized. NCBI's taxonomy places the organism in Eukaryota, Viridiplantae, Streptophyta, Magnoliopsida, Cucurbitales, Cucurbitaceae. The record is from RefSeq and is a predicted model, not a curated record. The transcript is spliced from 3 exons.